RNAcentral lists this ribosomal RNA (600 nucleotides) under Pseudomonas sp. PPERs23. Its description in RNAcentral is "bacterial SSU rRNA". It matches the Rfam family "Bacterial small subunit ribosomal RNA", at positions 68 to 663 of the family's 1533-position model. The record is from RNAcentral. Lineage: Bacteria; Pseudomonadati; Pseudomonadota; Gammaproteobacteria; Pseudomonadales; Pseudomonadaceae.
GGUAGAGAGAAGCUUGCUUCUCUUGAGAGCGGCGGACGGGUGAGUAAUGCCUAGGAAUCUGCCUGGUAGUGGGGGAUAACGUUCGGAAACGGACGCUAAUACCGCAUACGUCCUACGGGAGAAAGCAGGGGACCUUCGGGCCUUGCGCUAUCAGAUGAGCCUAGGUCGGAUUAGCUAGUUGGUGGGGUAAUGGCUCACCAAGGCGACGAUCCGUAACUGGUCUGAGAGGAUGAUCAGUCACACUGGAACUGAGACACGGUCCAGACUCCUACGGGAGGCAGCAGUGGGGAAUAUUGGACAAUGGGCGAAAGCCUGAUCCAGCCAUGCCGCGUGUGUGAAGAAGGUCUUCGGAUUGUAAAGCACUUUAAGUUGGGAGGAAGGGCAGUUGCCUAAUACGUAACUGUUUUGACGUUACCGACAGAAUAAGCACCGGCUAACUCUGUGCCAGCAGCCGCGGUAAUACAGAGGGUGCAAGCGUUAAUCGGAAUUACUGGGCGUAAAGCGCGCGUAGGUGGUUUGUUAAGUUGGAUGUGAAAUCCCCGGGCUCAACCUGGGAACUGCAUUCAAAACUGACUGACUAGAGUAUGGUAGAGGGUGGUG